UAUAGAUGGAUCCGCGCUGCAUUAGCUAGUUGGUAAGGUAACGGCUUACCAAGGCAACGAUGCAUAGCCGACCUGAGAGGGUGAUCGGCCACACUGGAACUGAGACACGGUCCAGACUCCUACGGGAGGCAGCAGUAGGGAAUCUUCCGCAAUGGGCGAAAGCCUGACGGAGCAACGCCGCGUGAGUGAUGAAGGUCUUCGGAUCGUAAAACUCUGUUAUUAGGGAAGAACAUAUGUGUAAGUAACUGUGCACAUCUUGACGGUACCUAAUCAGAAAGCCACGGCUAACUACGUGCCAGCAGCCGCGGUAAUACGUAGGUGGCAAGCGUUAUCCGGAAUUAUUGGGCGUAAAGCGCGCGUAGGCGGUUUUUUAAGUCUGAUGUGAAAGCCCACGGCUCAACCGUGGAGGGUCAUUGGAAACUGGAAAACUUGAGUGCAGAAGAGGAAAGUGGAAUUCCAUGUGUAGCGGUGAAAUGCGCAGAGAUAUGGAGGAACACCAGUGGCGAAGGCGACUUUCUGGUCUGUAACUGACGCUGAUGUGCGAAAGCGUGGGGAUCAAACAGGAUUAGAUA
This 572-nucleotide ribosomal RNA is filed under the name Staphylococcus aureus. RNAcentral's name for it is "bacterial SSU rRNA". It matches the Rfam family "Bacterial small subunit ribosomal RNA", at positions 220 to 784 of the family's 1533-position model. The record is from RNAcentral. Lineage: Bacteria; Bacillati; Bacillota; Bacilli; Caryophanales; Staphylococcaceae.